GUCAUUGUACCUCAUGAAUAUAUUUGAGUUGGGAGAGCGUUCGGCUGAAGACACCUUCAUUUCCAUCGGAAGGUCCCCGGUUCGAUCCCGGGUUGUCCCA
Aspergillus nanangensis is the source of this 100-nucleotide non-coding RNA. The record is from the annotation of a GenBank genome assembly. NCBI's taxonomy places the organism in Eukaryota, Fungi, Ascomycota, Eurotiomycetes, Eurotiales, Aspergillaceae.